CUGAGCAGGCAGCGGAAAUUUGGCAUGCCGGGUCGCAGAAUGCGGCAGCAGAUGAAAAUAAACAUCUGCGGGACAGU
This 77-nucleotide non-coding RNA is filed under the name uncultured Blautia sp. Its description in RNAcentral is "NiCo riboswitch". It matches the Rfam family "NiCo (Nickel/Cobalt) riboswitch aptamer", at positions 11 to 94 of the family's 96-position model. The record is from RNAcentral. Lineage: Bacteria; Bacillati; Bacillota; Clostridia; Lachnospirales; Lachnospiraceae.